UGGGGAAUAUUGCACAAUGGACGGAAGUCUGAUGCAGCAACGCCGCGUGCGGGAUGACGGCCUUCGGGUUGUAAACCGCUUUUUCUCAUGACGAAGUUUUUUGACGGUAGUGGGGGAAGAAGCACCGGCUAACUACGUGCCAGCAGCCGCGGUGAUACGUAGGGUGCGAGCGUUGUCCGGAAUUAUUGGGCGUAAAGAGCUUGUAGGCGGUUUGUCGCGUCGAUAGUGCAAACUCAGUGCUUAACGCUGAGCCUGCUGUUGAUACGGGCAGACUAAAGGAAGGUAGGGGAGAAUGGAAUUCCCGGUGGAGCGGUGGAAUGCGCAGAUAUCGGGAGGAACACCGGUGGCGAAGGCGGUUCUCUGGGCCUUUCCUGACGCUGAGAAGCGAAAGCGUGGGGAGCGAACAGG
Molecule: ribosomal RNA, 408 nt
Filed under: Fusobacteriota bacterium
Lineage: Bacteria; Fusobacteriati; Fusobacteriota
Description: Fusobacteria bacterium partial 16S ribosomal RNA
Rfam family: Bacterial small subunit ribosomal RNA
Source: RNAcentral